This 497-nucleotide ribosomal RNA is filed under the name uncultured bacterium. Its description in RNAcentral is "partial 16S ribosomal RNA". It matches the Rfam family "Bacterial small subunit ribosomal RNA", at positions 28 to 507 of the family's 1533-position model. The record is from RNAcentral.
GAUGAACGCUGGCGGCGUGCCUAAUACAUGCAAGUCGAGCGAACAGACGAGGAGCUUGCUCCUCUGACGUUAGCGGCGGACGGGUGAGUAACACGUGGAUAACCUACCUAUAAGACUGGGAUAACUUCGGGAAACCGGAGCUAAUACCGGAUAAUAUAUUGAACCGCAUGGUUCAAUAGUGAAAGACGGUUUUGCUGUCACUUAUAGAUGGAUCCGCGCCGCAUUAGCUAGUUGGUAAGGUAAUGGCUUACCAAGGCAACGAUGCGUAGCCGACCUGAGAGGGUGAUCGGCCACACUGGAACUGAGACACGGUCCAGACUCCUACGGGAGGCAGCAGUAGGGAAUCUUCCGCAAUGGGCGAAAGCCUGACGGAGCAACGCCGCGUGAGUGAUGAAGGUCUUCGGAUCGUGAAACUCUGUUAUUAGGGAAGAACAAAUGUGUAAGUAACUAUGCACGUCUUGACGGUACCUAAUCAGAAAGCCACGGCUAACUACGUG